UACAGAGGUCUCAAGCGUUGUUCGGAUUCAUUGGGCGUAAAGGGUGCGUAGGCGGCGCGGUAAGUCGGGUGUGAAAUCUCGGAGCUUAACUCCGAAACUGCAUUCGAUACUGCCGUGCUUGAGGACUGGAGAGGAGACUGGAAUUUACGGUGUAGCGGUGAAAUGCGUAGAUAUCGUAAGGAAGACCAGUGGCGAAGGCGGGGUCUCUGGACAGUUCCUGACACUGAGGCACGAAGGCCAGGGGAGCAAACGGG
This 254-nucleotide ribosomal RNA is filed under the name uncultured bacterium. RNAcentral describes it as "partial 16S ribosomal RNA". It matches the Rfam family "Bacterial small subunit ribosomal RNA", at positions 524 to 776 of the family's 1533-position model. The record is from RNAcentral.